AAAUAACAAUACAGGGCAAUUGUCUUGUAAUUGGAAUGAUGGUGACGUAAAAUCUCACCAGAGUAACAAUUGGAGGGCAAGUCUGGUGCCAGCAGCCGCGGUAAUUCCAGCUCCAAUAGCGUAUAUUAAACUUGUUGCAGUUAAAAAGCUCGUAGUUGAAUUUCUGCGUUGCCCGACUCGGCUACUUGCCUUGUCUGGUUUCGCUUUUGGGGUUUUCCCCUUUUUACUUUGAGAAAAUUAGAGUGUUUCAAGCAGACUUGUGUCUUGAAUACUUCAGCAUGGAAUAAUAAAGUAGGACUUUGGUUCUAUUUUGUUGGUUUGUGAACCUUAGUAAUGGUUAAUAGGAACGGUUGGGGGCA
This 359-nucleotide ribosomal RNA is filed under the name Babesia gibsoni. RNAcentral describes it as "SSU rRNA". It matches the Rfam family "Eukaryotic small subunit ribosomal RNA", at positions 475 to 890 of the family's 1831-position model. Lineage: Eukaryota; Apicomplexa; Aconoidasida; Piroplasmida; Babesiidae. The record is from RNAcentral.